AAGAGCUGAGAUCAUUUUCAUAUUAGUCACCACUUGUGUGUAUUUUGUUUGUUUAUUGAUCGAAACAUCGGGGAUUCCCUUUGAUUAACGACCAUCACCUGUUAGUCAGAUGUCCUUAUUGCAAAUAUGACAUGAUGAUUCUUGCUCAAACUCAAACAAUGAAGACAGCCCUUCAUAGUUAUUAAGGAUAAGAGUGAUGUGCUUGUGUCCCUGAACAUGUUGCUCUCUUGAUUCCACAUUUGAUUCCACCAGGUUGACUAAGGAUUUGACUCAGACCGAGUAACCUAAGACACAAAGGAUCAUGGAGAGAGAGGGGGGAUACUGAGGAACAAAACAAAAAUGUCUGUCGCUCCACUCUCCUCAUGCACACUGUGGUGUGUGUGUGAGAUCAGCUCAGUCGUGCGCUCUCACACUCUGGGCCAUUGCCUAAGUUCUGAGGAAAAUAACCCACCACUGCUUUGCUGAGGGAAGCUCCUGCUGUUAUCUCUGUCCCAUUUCUAAACAGACCAACCUGUGUGUCAGGAAUAUGGUAUCCUUACACACAAUGAGAGGGAGAGAACGAGCACUAAAUGCUCUAACUACGCUAAAUGGUACAGAGUGAAUUAUUUUUAUUUUUUGGAGGGUGAGGGAUGGUGGAGUGAUGGGGUGAAGUCUCUCAAUACACCCCUAACUCAGCACUCCCUCGGUCAGUCAUUCAGCAGCAACAUGGAUCGAUACAGAGUUGAAGUUCUUCAUGCCAAGCGACUCCUCGUAAAUGGGUACCGAAACUUUUGUCUUUAUUUAUUUCCCUUUGGUUGGAGUGUGAUGGAGGAGGCCAAACAAAGUUGGUGUUAAACGCUAGAAAAUGAAAGCUGUGCUUCGUAAUGUCCUGUCUCUGUGUCUGAUGAAGCGUGAAGUGCUCUGUAACCCUAACAAAAUGACUAUCACUGUAUUCCUGUGGUUUUAAAUGGCCUUCUCUUCUGUGCCGCUAUCGCAGUCUCCAUCCUGCUCAGUAUGAAAUGGAAUGGGAGAAAUGGCGGUCAUCAGUAAAUACUGUAAAUGCAUGAAGGGCAGGCGUUUAGUGCAGCCACAGCCUCAGUGCAGUGUAAUGAUCCAAAAGGUUGAACUGUUCACAGUACUUUAAGUUAAUAUUUCACUGCCUCUAUUGAAGGUUGAAUUAGAAAUGAAAACAACUGGUAAGACUUUUAACUUUUCAAUUAUAACGUUUAGAGAAAGCUGCUCUUAAGGUAGUGUGUGUCUGUAUUUGGGCUGAAACAUCGAAAUGAAAGUUGGUGAUUUAGGGAAACGACAUGCUUAAUAAGCUUGUGGCUGCCCAAUUAGCAUCUUGAGGAGGGGUUGUCAGCAGUCUGCCAAGAUAGUGCAGCGUUUUCAUUGGUGCAGAUCACCUCAACAAGUAAUUUCACAGAUGAGGUCUUUUAAAUAAAUCCUGCACUUGGCCCUUCAUGGCAUAUUGUUACCCACUGCUGUCUCGCAGAGAUAUUUCUUCUGUUUUCAGGCAUAUCCUAAAUUAUUUCAGUCUUUGUAACCUUUUUGUUUUUAGCAUAAAAUAAAU
Thalassophryne amazonica is the source of this 1552-nucleotide long non-coding RNA. RefSeq lists it as uncharacterized. Lineage: Eukaryota; Metazoa; Chordata; Actinopteri; Batrachoidiformes; Batrachoididae. The transcript is spliced from 3 exons. The record is from RefSeq and is a predicted model, not a curated record.